CAUGCAAGUCAACGGGGCAUAUAGCUUGGCUUGCCAAGUUGUAUGUCAGUGGCAGACGGGUGAGUAAUACAUAGGAAUCUACCUGACAGUAAGGAAUAGUCACUAGAAAUGGUGAGUAAUACCAUAUACGCCCUGAGGGGGAAAGAUUUAUCGCUGUCAGAUGAGCCUAUGUUGGAUUAGCUAGUUGGUGAGGUAAAUGCUCACCAAGGCAACGAUCCAUAGCUGGCCUGAGAGGGUGAACAGCCACACUGGAACUGAGAUACGGUCCAGACUCCUACGGGAGGCAGCAGUGGGGAAUAUUGGCAAUGGGCGAAAGCCUGACCCAGCCAUACCGCAUGAGUGAUGAAGGCCUUCGGGUUGUAAAGCUCUUUUAGUGGGGAAGAGAAUGACGGUACCCACAGAAAAAGUCCUGGCUAACUCCGUG
Molecule: ribosomal RNA, 424 nt
Filed under: uncultured bacterium
Lineage: Bacteria
Description: bacterial SSU rRNA
Rfam family: Bacterial small subunit ribosomal RNA
Source: RNAcentral